AAGACUACACUUUCAGGGAUCAUUUCUAUAGUUUGUUACUACAGAAGUUUCUUUGAAUGUGCAGGGCACCGAAAACCAUGAGGAGGAGGCAUAGUGUUCUCUCCUGAGAGUGAAGCAGGCACUUGGUGUUGCUUUGCUGCAACUAUCAUUUGCCACUGAUGAUCGUUCUUCUCUUCCUUUAGAAGAGUUAGAGGGCAAGAACACAGUCUGAUGGC
Molecule: small nucleolar RNA, 215 nt
Organism: Cynocephalus volans (Philippine flying lemur)
Lineage: Eukaryota; Metazoa; Chordata; Mammalia; Dermoptera; Cynocephalidae
Product: small nucleolar RNA U3
Exons: 1
Source: RefSeq, a predicted model, not a curated record